This 329-nucleotide ribosomal RNA is filed under the name Klebsiella pneumoniae. RNAcentral's name for it is "bacterial SSU rRNA". It matches the Rfam family "Bacterial small subunit ribosomal RNA", at positions 122 to 453 of the family's 1533-position model. Lineage: Bacteria; Pseudomonadati; Pseudomonadota; Gammaproteobacteria; Enterobacterales; Enterobacteriaceae. The record is from RNAcentral.
GAAACUGCCUGAUGGAGGGGGAUAACUACUGGAAACGGUAGCUAAUACCGCAUAAUGUCGCAAGACCAAAGUGGGGGACCUUCGGGCCUCAUGCCAUCAGAUGUGCCCAGAUGGGAUUAGCUAGUAGGUGGGGUAACGGCUCACCUAGGCGACGAUCCCUAGCUGGUCUGAGAGGAUGACCAGCCACACUGGAACUGAGACACGGUCCAGACUCCUACGGGAGGCAGCAGUGGGGAAUAUUGCACAAUGGGCGCAAGCCUGAUGCAGCCAUGCCGCGUGUGUGAAGAAGGCCUUCGGGUUGUAAAGCACUUUCAGCGGGGAGGAAGGCG